This 91-nucleotide ribosomal RNA is filed under the name Calothrix sp. CSU_2_0. Its description in RNAcentral is "partial 16S ribosomal RNA". It matches the Rfam family "Bacterial small subunit ribosomal RNA", at positions 1 to 102 of the family's 1533-position model. Lineage: Bacteria; Bacillati; Cyanobacteriota; Cyanophyceae; Nostocales; Calotrichaceae. The record is from RNAcentral.
AAAACGGAGAGUUUGAUCCUGGCUCAGGAUGAACGCUGGCGGUAUGCUUAACACAUGCAAGUCGAACGGUCUCUUCGGAGAUAGUGGCGGA